RNAcentral lists this ribosomal RNA (157 nucleotides) under Entrophospora claroidea. RNAcentral's name for it is "5.8S ribosomal RNA". It matches the Rfam family "5.8S ribosomal RNA". Rfam says of the family: 5.8S ribosomal RNA (5.8S rRNA) is a component of the large subunit of the eukaryotic ribosome. It is transcribed by RNA polymerase I as part of the 45S precursor that also contains 18S and 28S rRNA. Functionally, it is thought that 5.8S rRNA may be involved in ribosome translocation. The record is from RNAcentral. Lineage: Eukaryota; Fungi; Glomeromycota; Glomeromycetes; Entrophosporales; Entrophosporaceae.
CAACUUUCAACAACGGAUCUCUUGGCUCUCGCAUCGAUGAAGAACGCAGCGAAUUGCGAUAAGUAAUGUGAAUCGCAGAAUUACGUGAAUCAUCGAAUCUUUGAACGCAUAUUGCACUCUCUGGUAAUCCGGGGAGUAUGCCUGUUUGAGGGUCAGU